RNAcentral lists this unclassified non-coding RNA (339 nucleotides) under soil metagenome. RNAcentral describes it as "partial contains 5.8S ribosomal RNA, internal transcribed spacer 2, and large subunit ribosomal RNA". The stretch from base 1 to 120 matches the Rfam family "5.8S ribosomal RNA", at positions 35 to 154 of the family's 154-position model. The record is from RNAcentral.
GAUGAAGAACGCAGCGAAAUGCGAUACGUAGCGUGAAUUGCAGAAUUCAGUGAAUCAUCGAAUCUUUGAACGCACAUUGCACCUCUCGGUAUUCCGGGAGGUAUGCCUGUUCGAGCGUCAUUUGUACCCUCACGCUCUGCUUGGUGUUGGGUGUUUGUUCCGCCUCUGUGUGUGAACUCGCCUCAAAACAAUUGGCAGCCGGCGUACUUGUUUCGGAGCGCAGCACAUUUUGCGAUCCAGAUCAACGUACAGCGGCAUCCAAGAAGCCUUAUUUAACGCUCUUGACCUCGGAUCAGGUAGGGAUACCCGCUGAACUUAAGCAUAUCAAUAAGCGGAGGA